Long non-coding RNA from Neopsephotus bourkii (Bourke's parrot), 1712 nucleotides. RefSeq lists it as uncharacterized. The transcript has 4 exons. The record is from RefSeq and is a predicted model, not a curated record. NCBI's taxonomy places the organism in Eukaryota, Metazoa, Chordata, Aves, Psittaciformes, Psittacidae.
GCAUAUUUUAUAACACUGUCUGGAUCCUGCACCAGAUACAUCUAUGUGCCUUUUCAGACCCAGAAGUAGAUUUUUAAAUGUUAAAAGUGUUUGUUUUUUGUGUGUCCCCCCUCCCCAGUUUUUUUCUUGGUGGUUGGAUGUACCACUCCUGUCCCUUUAUUCCCAACCACCCAGUCUUAACAAUAUAGAUUUGUUCCAUCCAGUCCUAAUAAUACGGAGUUGUUCCAUUCAGUCUUAACAAUACAGAAUUGUUUUAUUUUCUUGAUGGAUGUAGCUGAUAGAGAUUCCAAGUCAUGGACUCUAUUAGAAAUAAUUAUCUUGAAGGUUAAAAUUGAAUUUUAAAACAUGCAUGAUAAAAGCAAUUGCAUUUAAUUUAUGCUUGUGCAAAAGGAAUAAUUUGAUUUAUAGCAUUAUAUCCUAGAAAGAUAAUUCUACAUAGUCUACAACUUGAAUCUAAUUAGAACACUCCGGUAUUAUAGAAAUGCAUUCCACACAGAGUAGCUUCUGUAUUUAUCAGAUAAACAGUAUAAGACGUGGACUAAGGAUCUAUUUAAGGUUUCAAGACACUGAAAGGUAAGCACUUUAAUAAUUCUAAAAUGAUUUUACUUUUCAUAUAUAGAAAAAUGGAAGAAUACUAACAUAUAUAUUUAAUUUUCAGUUUUAUUUUGAUUUCACCUGGAAGUAUUAGAAACUUCUCAAAGAGCCCUAUUUGAAACAAAAUUGUAACAACUUCAUUGAAAGGUCCUCCAACUUUUUGAAGAAUGCUAUCAGUAUAAACGUUGGGAGGUAAAAAGAGUGAGGGGAGUGGGAGGAGAGUGCAUUGGGUUUUGGUUGCUGUUUUGCCACCAGCAGUCCUGAACACUAGACCAACUCUGUGGAAUUUAUUUCUGCUUCGAUGGAUGUAUCAGGACCAGAAUUGAUUUUCUUAGAAAAGAAUGAAAUUUAUCCCAGUGCCUAAAAGCUUAGUUCUGCAGAUGUACAACAGGCUUGUUAGGAAGUAUCAUAAAGCCUCUCCAGGACAUGCAGGUUCAGCUGCCCCAAACUACAAUAUCAAGGGUCACAUUUUACCUCCAGUUAAAUUUAUACAACUCCAGGGGAAGCAGCAGAGGACAGGAAUUCCGUCAUAAUUUGAAUUAACUAAAAACCUGCUUUCUGGAGAAAGAAACAAAUGAUAAGGAAUUGGAUACUACUUCAGACGUGAUAUUAAUAUGUCUUCAUGUAGCAACUAAAGGAGGAAGCUAACAACUUUUCUUCUGUACUUGAGCACAUCUGCACAUCUAAAAUUAGAAACUGUCCCUAGCAGACAUUGAGCUAUGGCUCCAUAUUUAGAAGCUAUUGACUCAGUUGUUCAACCUGUUUACUUGCUCAAAUAUAAAACGGUCUUUUAAAUUGCCGAAACAGAUUGUAGAGAAAAUUGGCAGAAGAUGUUAACAACAAGGCCCAGAGCUCCAUUUGUAGGAUUCACAGCAUACAGCCUGCAGAUACUCGUCUCUAAGGGCUUUUUUCCAUUCACCGAAUCCAAGUGAAGGGGAAGAAUAGCAUGUAAUGAAACAAGAAAAAUUGACAACAUCAUCAGGAUCUGCAUUUCACAAAACCAACCAUGGCACAUCAACGAAGGGACUGGAAGCAAUCACUGUGAAACUAUAUCCAUCGACAUAAGGAUAUCUUUCAGUUUCUUUGCAGCUGGAAUCAGUGAUUUCAUACUGAAAAAG